GGGCCCGCACAAGCGGCGGAGCAUGCGGAUUAAUUCGAUGCAACGCGAAGAACCUUACCAAGGCUUGACAUGGACCGGACCGGGCUGGAAACAGUCCUUCCCCUUUGGGGCCGGUUCACAGGUGGUGCAUGGUUGUCGUCAGCUCGUGUCGUGAGAUGUUGGGUUAAGUCCCGCAACGAGCGCAACCCUCGUUCCAUGUUGCCAGCGCGUAAUGGCGGGGACUCAUGGGAGACUGCCGGGGUCAACUCGGAGGAAGGUGGGGACGACGUCAAAUCAUCAUGCCCCUUAUGUCUUGGGCUUCACGCAUGCUACAAUGGCCGGUACAAAGGGUUGCGAUACUGUGAGGUGGAGCUAAUCCCAAAAAGCCGGUCUCAGUUCGGAUUGGGGUCUGCAACUCGACCCCAUGAAGUCGGAGUCGCUAGUAAUCGCAGAUCAGCAACGCUGCGGUGAAUACGUUCCCGGGCCUUGUACACACCGCCCGUCAAGUCACGAAAGUUGGUAACACCCGAAGCCGGUGGCCUAACCCCUAGUGGGAGGGAGCUGUCGAAGGUGGGACUGGCGAUUGGGACU
This 570-nucleotide ribosomal RNA is filed under the name uncultured bacterium. RNAcentral describes it as "bacterial SSU rRNA". It matches the Rfam family "Bacterial small subunit ribosomal RNA", at positions 917 to 1482 of the family's 1533-position model. The record is from RNAcentral.